Molecule: ribosomal RNA, 467 nt
Filed under: uncultured bacterium
Lineage: Bacteria
Description: partial 16S ribosomal RNA
Rfam family: Bacterial small subunit ribosomal RNA
Source: RNAcentral
ACGAGCGCUGGCGGCGUGCUUAACACAUGCCAGUCGAACGGAAAGGCCCUGCUUUUGUGGGGUGCUCGAGUGGCGAACGGGUGAGUAACACGUGAGUAACCUGCCCUUGACUUUGGGAUAACUUCAGGAAACUGGGGCUAAUACCAGAUAGGAGCUCCUGCUGCAUGGUGGGGGUUGGAAAGUUUCGGCGGUUGGGGAUGGACUCGCGGCUUAUCAGCUUGUUGGUGGGGUAGUGGCUUACCAAGGCUUUGACGGGUAGCCGGCCUGAGAGGGUGACCGGCCACAUUGGGACUGAGAUACGGCCCAGACUCCUACGGGAGGCAGCAGUGGGGAAUAUUGCACAAUGGGCGGAAGCCUGAUGCAGCAACGCCGCGUGCGGGAUGACGGCCUUCGGGUUGUAAACCGCUUUCGCCUGUGACGAAGCGUGAGUGACGGUAAUGGGUAAAGAAGCACCGGCUAACUACGUG